AUGGGCGGUAUUAUUGCUAGACGAUUAAGUAUGAACCGUACUAAGGGUCCCAUCUUUGGAGGCAUCUAUGAUACACGCCUAGCUGCACAUUUUAACAUACCUAUUAGGCAUGCUGAGAAGGAAGAAAAGGUGUUGCCCCGUGUUUAUCUAGAUCAUAAAAGUAUGGUGGCACACGAUUUUAUUGUUAAGAAUAGGGCAGGAGAGCUUAAAUAUCAAUUGUUCUUUAACAAACAUCAUCCUGAGACUAUUAUCCUGCCUGCUCCUUCUUUGUUUGAUUUGACUGUAGGCACGUACCUUGUUCCGUUGACGGCUAUUCAUGCCUACCGGAACCCUGCACCAACCGAGGAGCCAGAACCGGGACCAUAA
This 366-nucleotide ribosomal RNA is filed under the name Triticum aestivum (bread wheat). Its description in RNAcentral is "partial small subunit ribosomal RNA". The record is from RNAcentral. Lineage: Eukaryota; Viridiplantae; Streptophyta; Magnoliopsida; Poales; Poaceae.